Long non-coding RNA from Calidris pugnax (ruff), 297 nucleotides. RefSeq lists it as uncharacterized. Lineage: Eukaryota; Metazoa; Chordata; Aves; Charadriiformes; Scolopacidae. The record is from RefSeq and is a predicted model, not a curated record. The transcript is spliced from 3 exons.
ACUUCAGCUGGCACCUUUCCUUUGCUGCGUGGGUGGACACAGGACAGUCAUGUCACCCUUGUAGUAAGAUCUUCAGCCUUCCCUCAGCCACGUCCACCCUUCCCAACUCGUUACAUGAAUUGAUCAAGGAUUCACCUGCUUUCUUUUCCAAGAAAAACAUGAAAGCUGGAAUGAAGUUUUAUUGGAAUUGAUGCACCUUCGUUGUCAAUAGCAGGAAAAUGAGUAGUGGAGUGGCAGAAGCUUCUGAGAAACCUGGUAGCAAUUGACCUGAGUAGCAAAAACAUGACGUGACUGAGA